GACGAACGCUGGCGGCGUGCUUAACACAUGCAAGUCGAGCGGUAAGGCCCUUCGGGGUACACGAGCGGCGAACGGGUGAGUAACACGUGGGUAAUCUGCCCUGCACUCUGGGAUAAGCCUUGGAAACGAGGUCUAAUACCGGAUACGACUCCUCCACGCAUGUGGUGGGGUGGAAAGUUCCGGCGGUGCAGGAUGAACCCGCGGCCUAUCAGCUUGUUGGUGGGGUAAUGGCCUACCAAGGCGACGACGGGUAGCCGGCCUGAGAGGGCGACCGGCCACACUGGGACUGAGACACGGCCCAGACUCCUACGGGAGGCAGCAGUGGGGAAUAUUGCGCAAUGGGCGAAAGCCUGACGCAGCGACGCCGCGUGAGGGAUGACGGCCUCGGUUGUAACCUAC
RNAcentral lists this ribosomal RNA (399 nucleotides) under uncultured bacterium. Its description in RNAcentral is "bacterial SSU rRNA". It matches the Rfam family "Bacterial small subunit ribosomal RNA", at positions 28 to 433 of the family's 1533-position model. The record is from RNAcentral.